This 682-nucleotide long non-coding RNA is filed under the name Vitis vinifera (wine grape). RNAcentral describes it as "long non-coding RNA (VVIN_LNC002271)". The record is from RNAcentral. Lineage: Eukaryota; Viridiplantae; Streptophyta; Magnoliopsida; Vitales; Vitaceae.
CAAAGCCAUCUGGGUUUUAUUGCUGGGGUUGGGAGUUCUUAACUGCACUUCUGCUUUUUAGUUGGUGAUCGAUUCCCUUAAAAGACCUUCCUAAAAGGAACGGAGGUGAAGAUACUUCUGUUCCCGAUUCCUGUCGAUUUUCAUUUUGCUCCGAAUUUUUUUUUUUUUUUUGCCUAUUUUUUUCUGUGUUUUGGGUGGGCCGUGAGGGUUGGUUGGUGAGGGACAAAUCGGGGAGAAAUGGCACAAAGAUCGGUUCCGGCGCCGUUUCUGACGAAGACGUACCAGUUGGUGGAUGAUCCGAGCACCGACGACGUGAUCUCCUGGAGCGAAAGCGGCAACACCUUCGUGGUUUGGAAAACUGCGGACUUCGCUAAGGAUUUGCUUCCUAAUUACUUCAAGCACAACAAUUUCUCAAGCUUCGUCCGCCAGCUCAAUACAUAUGUACGUCACCUCUCCUCCUCCCUUUGUUCCAUACGUUUCUUUAUUCUAUUUUAGUUUUGAUUGGCCUCCGUUUGGCCGGUGAGAAACCGAGAGGGAAAAAAGAAAAUGAAAAAGGAACGGUAUCCUAUUCGAUCGGUGUGUGCCGUCGGCGGCGGUGCUGCCGCCGUUUCAAUCUUCUACUGCCAUCUCUAUUUGGUAGUCUAUUCAACAGUUUGACCACGAAGGUGUCUAUUAAAUAUUA